ACAAACCUGUACAAGGUCUUUGGAGUGUGGGAGCUAACCGGAGCUCCCAAAGAAAACCUACGAAGGUCACUGGGAGAACGU
Long non-coding RNA from Amblyraja radiata (thorny skate), 81 nucleotides. RefSeq lists it as uncharacterized. The record is from RefSeq and is a predicted model, not a curated record. The transcript is spliced from 3 exons. Lineage: Eukaryota; Metazoa; Chordata; Chondrichthyes; Rajiformes; Rajidae.